GAGAUAUGAUGAUUUAUAUAUUGGUCCGUGUUUCUGAAUCACCGUGACCGACAACUACAUAACCAUUUUCUGAUCUC
Molecule: small nucleolar RNA, 77 nt
Organism: Prosopis cineraria
Lineage: Eukaryota; Viridiplantae; Streptophyta; Magnoliopsida; Fabales; Fabaceae
Product: small nucleolar RNA SNORD18
Exons: 1
Source: RefSeq, a predicted model, not a curated record